This 449-nucleotide ribosomal RNA is filed under the name uncultured bacterium. Its description in RNAcentral is "partial 16S ribosomal RNA". It matches the Rfam family "Bacterial small subunit ribosomal RNA", at positions 30 to 523 of the family's 1533-position model. The record is from RNAcentral.
AUUGAACGCUAACGGCAGGCUUAACACAUGCAAGUCGAACGGGCACUUCGGUGCUAGUGGCAGACGGGUGAGUAACACGUAGGAACGUACCUUUCGGUUCGGAAUAAUUCAGGGAAACUUGGACUAAUAGCGGAUACGCCCUUCGGGGGAAAGAUUUAUCGCCGAUAGAUCGGCCCGCGUCUGAUUAGCUAGGUGGUGAGGUAAUGGCUCACCAAGGCGACGAUCAGUAGCUGGUCUGAGAGGAUGACCAGCCACAUUGGGACUGAGACACCGCCCAAACUCCUACGGGAAGCAUCAGUGGGUAAUGUUGCACGAUGGGCACAAGCCUGAUCCAGCCCUGCCGCGUGAGUGAUGAAGUCCUGAGGGUUAUAAAGCUUUUUAGUCGGGGAAGAUAGUGACUGUACCGGAAGAAUAAGCCCCGGCUAACUUCGUGCCAGCCGCCGCCGUAA